UUCUCCUGUAGGGUAAAAGAAAUGACAGCAGUAUCCAGACACCUAUCCCUGGUGUCUGCGCGGGGCUGGGGGGCCAGGCCGGACGGCACUGCUGAGAACGUGAUGGUCCGGUGCAGAGAACUGCAGCUGUUCUUGCACAACGAGCUCAAGGCUCGGAGCACCCUCCGGCCGCAGCUCUCCUUGCACGAGGGCUCAGGGCAUCCUGCAGCCGAGGGGCCCACCGAGAACCGUGGCGUUCUGGGACACGGAGGAUGAUGGGGGCUCAGGGGGGGCUGUGCUAAAAAUCCUCACGGACGCACCGCGGCACCCGCGGCUCUCACAGCAGUUCUCCUCCGCGCCCAUCCCAUGAAGCUGCUGUGCACGAAGCUGCUUGCUUUCUGGGGGUGCAGCGCCCCGGUGGGUUUGCUCACCAUCCCUGCACCAUCCCUGCACGAUCGUACCCACGGAUGUCGCUCCCCACCCGAGAUGCAGUUCCGCACCAGGACGCGGGGUGGGAGCCUCAGCACACGGAGUAGCGCUCACCGCUCCUCGCAGGGCUCUACCUCUUCCCGGGGCCGUAUCUCGCCUUAGGAGGACGUGGAGUAAAUCCUGGGUGCAACUUUUGAAGGAGAGGAGGCAGCAGCUCAUCAGGCACAGCCUGGAGCCGGAGCAGUGAACAGAUGAGCAUCUUUACCCAGCAAAAGGACAAACAUCGCCUGCCUGAGCAGACGGGAAGAUUGUACAGACCGACCCUAACUCAGACCCAUGCCACAGAAACUCAGUUAUUGUGCUUGCAGUCUGUGGCUAUGGAAUCCAUCAUGCAUACCCAGCAGCUCUUUGAUUGUGAGGACGUCUCACCCCAUAGCCAGUUUGCUCCCCAUCCUGCCUGCUCCCUGGAUGACACCCAGCUGAGUCCUGCACUGCUGCACCCCAGGAGAUCGCCAGGAGCCCUCCAGCACUGAGCUCAGCCAUGAGCCUUUCCUACAGCUGUUGCUCCACCUGAAUGUGCCACACUGUGGUCAAUAGGAUGUCCCCAAGUGAGCUCAAUAUUUUCAUGUCCCCAAGUGAACUCAGUAUUUUCAUGGCCAUCACACAGUGAAUAAUAAAUAUCCUUAGAUUUGGC
This 1102-nucleotide long non-coding RNA is filed under the name Phasianus colchicus (ring-necked pheasant). RNAcentral describes it as "lncRNA (ENSPCLG00000010740.1)". The record is from RNAcentral. Lineage: Eukaryota; Metazoa; Chordata; Aves; Galliformes; Phasianidae.